RNAcentral lists this long non-coding RNA (547 nucleotides) under Mus spretus (western wild mouse). RNAcentral's name for it is "lncRNA (ENSMSPG00010015160.1)". The record is from RNAcentral. Lineage: Eukaryota; Metazoa; Chordata; Mammalia; Rodentia; Muridae.
GCCAUCAAAGGAAAGGGAGAGAGAGAAAAGAAAGCAAUUUCUUCAAGGCUGUUUCAAUAUGGUCUGUUUGAUGAAAUACACAUUGAGAUUCAUAAAGAGCAGCUAAGCCUAGAAAGAUAAUGGAGGCAUAACUAUCCAUAUAUUCAAAGGGAUUCAAAUUCACGCUACAAGUUCAUCAUGUGAAAAUCCUUAAAAAAUCUCCUUCAGUUGUAGAUUCCAUGGUCUCCCAGUCAUGAAAACAUAAUGAAUUUGACAAUCAAAGUUAAUCCAGCAAAGACAGUGAGCAGGAUUGUACAAGGAAAGAGUGGAAUCACAGAACUCCCAUCAGGAAAAUAAACCCAGAACAUUUAGUUACCAAUGUGGAAUCUGUGGCAUAGACAAGUGAAGAAUUUCUUCUAUAUUCAUUUGGAGUCCCCAAACUCAGGAGUAUGAAAGAUGUUCAGAAAGCCAACAAGGAAAAUCGACCACUCAAAAAAUAGUACAGAUAUGCAGAUGGAAAGGAACAAAAGUCAUGAUUGAGGUAACCAAGACACAGAACACAAAUAUG